UGAAGCUGUCCAGUAAGGCUCUCCGUCCCGCAGGAAUCUCCUCCUCCAGCAGCAUCUGCAGCUCCGCCAUCUUUACAUGGUCCAACUAACCAUAGCUGCGGCGCGAGACUCCACUUCAAUGUCCGGCCGUGUGGAGACGACGGCCCAGGCCAAACCCACCAACAGCGCCACCACCAGGUUCACUACGAUCCACGGCCGCAGGAUCUGCUGCUCCGAACCCGGAGGCCUGUAGGAGGAAGAAGGAGACCUGGAUUACUAACCAGAAAGACGCCAGAGCAGCCGGGUCCAGGGUCAGGAAGCCUCUCAGGGCCAUGGAGGCUUUGGCCAGGUUCACUCUGCAGCAACAGUCGUCUCCUCUCCAUCCAAGGUUGACUCGGCCAUGGUGCCGUUUGGCAUUUCAGCGUUUUCGGUUUCCUGGUCUGGCAAAACAAAACACGAAAGUUUCCAAGAGC
This is a long non-coding RNA of Acanthochromis polyacanthus (spiny chromis), 452 nucleotides long. RefSeq lists it as uncharacterized. The transcript has 4 exons. The record is from RefSeq and is a predicted model, not a curated record. Lineage: Eukaryota; Metazoa; Chordata; Actinopteri; Pomacentridae.